Mastomys coucha (southern multimammate mouse) is the source of this 266-nucleotide long non-coding RNA. RefSeq lists it as uncharacterized. The record is from RefSeq and is a predicted model, not a curated record. The transcript has 2 exons. NCBI's taxonomy places the organism in Eukaryota, Metazoa, Chordata, Mammalia, Rodentia, Muridae.
AACCGUUCUUGACCGGCUGUGUCCCAGAUCUGCAAGACACAAAACACCUGGUCUUUAGGAGAUGCGUGUGUACAUGGGUAGGAGUGACAUGGUUCCUUUCUUCUCCCAGGUCCUGAAGUUUCUGGCCACUCCACUUGAAGGUCAUGGUCCAGCCAAGUAUGACCUGUGCCCCUUAGAGUUCCUAGCAAGGCUCCCCUUGCCUGUGUCCUAUCCCAGGGGUCUUCUGUGUAUCUAUGCUAAUACCUGCUGCUUCAAUAUAUACUUCA